AUUGAACGCUGGCGGCAUGCUUUACACAUGCAAGUCGAACGGUGACAGGCCGCAAGGUGCUGACGAGUGGCGAACGGGUGAGUAAUGCAUCGGAACGUGCCCAGUCGUGGGGGAUAACGCAGCGAAAGCUGUGCUAAUACCGCCUACGAUCUAUGGAUGAAAGCGGGGGACCGUAAGGCCUCGCGCGAUUGGAGCGGCCGAUGUCAGAUUAAGUAGUUGGUGGGGUAAAGGCUCACCAAGCCAACGAUCUGUAGCUGGUCUGAGAGGACGACCAGCCACACUGGGACUGAGACACGGCCCAGACUCCUACGGGAGGCAGCAGUGGGGAAUUUUGGACAAUGGGCGCAAGCCUGAUCCAGCAAUGCCGCGUGCAGGAAGAAGGCCUUCGGGUUGUAAACUGCUUUUGUACGGAACGAAAAGGUUUGGGUUAAUACCCUGGGCCGAUGACGGUACCGUAAGAAUAAGCACCGGCUAACUACGUGCCAGCAGCCGCCGUAA
Molecule: ribosomal RNA, 498 nt
Filed under: uncultured bacterium
Lineage: Bacteria
Description: partial 16S ribosomal RNA
Rfam family: Bacterial small subunit ribosomal RNA
Source: RNAcentral